RNAcentral lists this ribosomal RNA (1372 nucleotides) under Dolbina paraexacta. RNAcentral's name for it is "16S ribosomal RNA". Lineage: Eukaryota; Metazoa; Arthropoda; Insecta; Lepidoptera; Sphingidae. The record is from RNAcentral.
GGGGGAAAAAUUAAUAAUAAAUAUGAUAAUAAAAAAAUUUUUAAUAAUAAGAAUAUUUUGGGGGGUUAAAGUAUUUUUAAAAGAAAAAAUUAAUAAUUUUAUAAUUUAUUAGUAUUGUAAAAGAAAUUUGAAAUAUAAUUGAAAUAAGAAUUUAUUUAAAAGUAAAUUUAAUUUGUUGUAUCUUGUGUAUCAGAGUUUAUUAAUAAUAAUUUAUUUUUUAAAAUUCUCGAAUUUAAAAGAGUUAAUUGAUUAAAAAAUUUAUUGUUUUAUAAAUAUUUUAAAUAAUUAAUUGGAAAUGAAAUGUUAUUCGUUUUUAAAUAUAUCUAGUUUUUUUAGAAAAAAAUUAAAUUUUUAAUUAAUUAAAAAAUUAAUUAAUUAUUAAAUUAAUUUUUUAGUUAAUUUAAUAUUUUAAGGGAUAAGCUUUAAAUUAAAUUUUUAUAAUAAUUAAUUAAAAUUUUUGAAAAUUUUAUGAUUUAUAUUGUUAAAAAAUUUUAUUUUAUUAUAAAUAAUUUCAUUAAAUUUAAAAUUUAAUAUAAUUUAAUUUUUUAUAAAAAAAUAUUUUAUAAUUAAAAUAAAUUAGUUAUAAUGAUAAAAUUAGUAUAUUAAAUAAAAGUUUAAAUAAAAUUUAUUGAAAAAUUAUUUAAAAGGAACUCGACAAAUAAAUAUAUACAUUAUAUAUGUAUAUUAAUUAUAUUCACCUGUUUAUCAAAAACAUGUCUUUUUGUUAAUAAUUUAAAGUCUAAUCUGCCCACUGAUUAAAAUAAAUUGAAGGGCUGCAGUAUAUUGACUGUACAAAGGUAGCAUAAUCAUUAGUCUCUUAAUUGGUGACUUGUAUGAAGGAUUGGAUGAGAUAUAAAUUGUCUCUUAAAUAUAUAAUUGAAUUUAAUUUUUUAAUUAAAAAGUUAAAAUAAAUUAAAAAGACGAGAAGACCCUAUAGAGUUUUAUAAUUAUUUUAUUUUAAUUUUUAAAUUUAAUUAUUUAUAUUAUAAUAUUUUUAAUUAUUUUAUUGGGGUGAUAAAAAAAUUUAUUUAACUUUUUUUGGGUUUAAACAUAAAUAAGUGAAUUUUUGAUCCAAUAUUAUUGAUUAUAAGAAAAAAUUACCUUAGGGAUAACAGCGUAAUUUUUUUUUUUAGUUCGAAUAAAAAAAAAAGUUUGCGACCUCGAUGUUGGAUUAAGAUAAAAUUUAAAUGCAAAAGUUUAAAAUUUUGAUCUGUUCGAUCAUUAAAAUCUUACAUGAUCUGAGUUCAAACCGGUGUGAGCCAGGUUGGUUUCUAUCUUUUGAAAAUAUUAAUAUUUUAGUACGAAAGGAUCAAAUAUUAUAAUUAAAUUAAUUAAUUUUGAUUAUUAUUAAUUUAUUAAUAAAAUUUUUAUU